RNAcentral lists this long non-coding RNA (227 nucleotides) under Jatropha curcas. RNAcentral's name for it is "long non-coding RNA (JCUR_LNC003312)". The record is from RNAcentral. Lineage: Eukaryota; Viridiplantae; Streptophyta; Magnoliopsida; Malpighiales; Euphorbiaceae.
CCCCACACUUAAUCCAUGCUUGUCCUCAAGCAUGACUUAAAACUCAACAAAACUUAGCUCAAACAUAAAGGGAAGAACUCUUCUCGACCUUAAACAAUCCUUAUGAGAACAAUCGGAAAAAUAAAGUCAAUUACUAAGCAAAGUUAAAUUGACUAAGUUUGAAUGAAGUGCAAGCAAGACUAAUAAGUUGAAUUUAGACUAUCCUAAACAUAAAAUCCAAGGCUUGA